CUUACAUAUGGUCAAGACCCAUCGGCCUCAGUUUGCAAAACAGUGGUCAUACAUAGUGUCAUAGUUCAACAGAGUGAGGGAAUCCCCGUAGCGUCCUCCUUUGAACGGCAAAGACGACAGCGGCUUCCCCAGAUAAAAGACGACCAAACAAGAAAGGGAGGAUGAAAAAAAAAAAACACAUGAAAAAGAAUGGGACGAGGACGAAGAAGAAA
Long non-coding RNA from Micropterus dolomieu (smallmouth bass), 212 nucleotides. RefSeq lists it as uncharacterized. Lineage: Eukaryota; Metazoa; Chordata; Actinopteri; Centrarchiformes; Centrarchidae. The transcript is spliced from 2 exons. The record is from RefSeq and is a predicted model, not a curated record.